UAAUGGUAAUGGUGGCAACUGUUACACGUUAUGGGGUUGUAUUGGUCAUAAUGGCCGUUAUGGAAAAAUGACUCAUAACAUCCCCAUAAUGGUCUAUUAUGAGGACGAUAUAGGUUCUUUUUUCUAUAACAAAAAAAGCUUGUAAUGGACAUUAUGGCCUGUAUCAUAACAGUGAUGGUGGUGGCCGUUAUGGCCACUGAUAUCGUUAUGAUACACCAUGGUGUGAACAUGAAUUGUUUCUUACUGACUAUCUUUUCUUGACUUGCAUUAGAAUAGAAUAAUUGUAACACCUUGGCUCUUCAAUACUCGGGUAUCGUAUGUUCUCAGGUGUUAUCUGGCAAAUCUUUUGAUUUAGCAUAGUGUCCGCACGUGCAUGCGGACGCGCGAGUCCAUGGAGUAGAGGAAUUUGGCAUAACUCUAAACCUAGGAGCUCGAACUUAAGCAAAGUUCAUGCGUAGCUCGCCAAUGGUAUAUGACUAGUCAUGGGACCCGGAUUCCCGGAUCCCCAAUCCAUUAGACUCGGGUGACCAAUUAGGAAGAGCCUACCAAAGGAGCACAUCAAAUUGAAUAUUUAAAUCGGGGAUUGAUGAAUGCGAUAACUUCGAUCGGUCCCCAACACUCGGACAAUUGAGCCCUCCCCCAAUCUCACCAAAGACUAGAAUUCCCAAGCCCGGGCCGAUUCAGGACAAACCGGAUCCUGUCAGAUCAACUAACUUGAGAAGCCCAAAAGCAGGACAGAUUUGGUAGUAAAUAUGUAAAAUACUGACAUUUAGCAUAUUGAAUAUAAUAUAAUAUAGGAAAACAAACAAGUAGAACUGAAUAGGAUGUGGUUAAGGGAGGUCAAGUGGCCAGUCAUUUGAUUAUUUUUUUUAAAUGAUCGUUUUUCAAGGCGAAUGACUCAAUUUGAGUCACCAUGAGUCUCGUUGAGUCAUUUGAGUCAGCAGAUUGACUCAAUGAGUCUCUCUGAGUUGGAACCAAGCCACAUCUAGAACUGAGUUCCUGUCGACCCGUUCAAUAUCUUGCCAAGUCAAGUUGACUUGGCCAAGUUUCAAUUGAAGUUUGUGAGUUUUAGAACUAUGCUUCAAAAUGUGGAUGCUAUUUGUCAAUUAGGUUUGUUUUGUGAAAAAAAAAAUGUUCAUGCUAUAGUACGAGUGUGAUGGUUCUUAUGCAUGUAUUACUCAAAUCAAACUAUCCAAAUUGUAGGCCCCACUUUUGAUGGGUGAUAAACCAAAAACUAUACAUAACUGACCUCCUAAUUGGCUGGUUGGUGGACAUCUAAUGCACAAUUAAAUUGAAAAAGUUCAUCAAUUUGGCAUGUGGACCUUGAUCAACAUCAAUUCAAAUACAUGCAUGGUUUUUAUUGUUUGCUAACAGAGUGUUCAUGCUUGGCCGACAUCAUUAUCCUUUCUUCUUCACAAUUUGUUAAAUUUUUCAGCCAUAGUGAUGCAUGAAAGAUGAAUAAUAAUUUAAGAUAUCUAUAUAAUACUUGACUUUAUGAGAGGAGGGCUCUUUUUGAGCAAUAUCUGACUUUGGUUCUGAUGGUACAUGUCUACUGAAGGAUAUCCACCAUGAUACCAUGAUUUUAUCCUUUGUCGAGCCCUCUGCGCCAUGCACUGUCUUGCAUCCCAACUGAUUUAAUGUUAUUUAUUUUGCAAGGUAGCUUGAAUUUUGUUGAAGAAACUACCAAGCUAUAAACUGGGCAUGCAGCUUAGGGGAGGGGAAAGGAGGAGAUGAUCAGGAGGGACCCCUGAACUAGCGUGGAUCGACAAGACAGUCCAUGGAUGUCAAUGGGCUGCAUCACUCUUCCAUUGAGCUUUCCUCUCCUUCCAUUCAUUACAAUAAAGGCAACAUGAACAAUGCGAAAGCUUCAUUAACUCCUUGGCCAGUCAUUAUUUACAAAAUAUCAAAAGUUGAUGGUACGAGGAAUUCUAAGUGGACUUGCUCGUGUGUGGUAGAUAUGGGUUGUUUGUAGCACACAUGCCAAUUUAGGAUGUGUUAUAGACAUGGGCAUUCAUCUGGGGUUUCUGUAUCAAGCUGGGCUAGCCUUACAUCGGAGAGCGAGAGGGGAAACAUUCGUGGACCUUGGCAGAGAACAUUUUCCUGUAAACUGAAAAAUAGCAAGAAGUUUAUCACUCCUUUGUUAUAUUUAUGCCGGGAAAAAAAAAGGACGAGGUUCCCCUGUUUUCAGUGCAAGAAGCGCACU
Long non-coding RNA from Magnolia sinica, 2203 nucleotides. RefSeq lists it as uncharacterized. Lineage: Eukaryota; Viridiplantae; Streptophyta; Magnoliopsida; Magnoliales; Magnoliaceae. The transcript has 3 exons. The record is from RefSeq and is a predicted model, not a curated record.